This 330-nucleotide ribosomal RNA is filed under the name uncultured bacterium. Its description in RNAcentral is "bacterial SSU rRNA". It matches the Rfam family "Bacterial small subunit ribosomal RNA", at positions 568 to 898 of the family's 1533-position model. The record is from RNAcentral.
UGCGUAGGCGGUUAUGAAAGUUAGGAGUGAAAGCCCAGGGCUCAACCUUGGAAUUGCUCUUAAAACUACAUAACUCGAAUUUGGGAGAGGAUAGCGGAAUUGUCAGUGUAGCAGUGAAAUGCGUAGAUAUUGACAGGAACACCAGUGGCGUAAGCGGCUAUCUGGACCAACAUUGACGCUGAGGCACGAAAGCGUGGGGAUCAAACAGGAUUAGAUACCCUGGUAGUCCACGCCGUAAACGAUGUGUGUUUGUCGCUGGGGAGUUUACUCUUCGGUGACGGAGCUAACGCGUUAAGCACACCGCCUGGGAAGUACGGUCGCAAGAUUAAA